The sequence is a transfer RNA, 106 nucleotides long. It matches the Rfam family "tRNA". Rfam says of the family: Transfer RNA (tRNA) molecules are approximately 80 nucleotides in length. Their secondary structure includes four short double-helical elements and three loops (D, anti-codon, and T loops). The record is from Rfam.
GGCGCUAUAGCCAAGUGGUUACGGCGACAGAUUAGAACCGUUAAAAGUUUCUGAUUAAUUCAUCUGUUCCUCUUUGAGGGCGCAGGUUCGAAUCCUGCUGGCGUCG